Molecule: ribosomal RNA, 492 nt
Filed under: uncultured bacterium
Lineage: Bacteria
Description: partial 16S ribosomal RNA
Rfam family: Bacterial small subunit ribosomal RNA
Source: RNAcentral
AGUGAACGCUGGCGGUAGGCCUAACACAUGCAAGUCGAACGGCAGCACAGUAAGAGCUUGCUCUUACGGGUGGCGAGUGGCGGACGGGUGAGGAAUACAUCGGAAUCUACUUUUUCGUGGGGGAUAACGUAGGGAAACUUACGCUAAUACCGCAUACGACCUACGGGUGAAAGCAGGGGAUCUUCGGACCUUGCGCGAUUGAAUGAGCCGAUGUCGGAUUAGCUAGUUGGCGGGGUAAAGGCCCACCAAGGCGACGAUCCGUAGCUGGUCUGAGAGGAUGAUCAGCCACACUGGAACUGAGACACGGUCCAGACUCCUACGGGAGGCAGCAGUGGGGAAUAUUGGACAAAGGGCGCAAGCCUGAUCCAGCCAUACCGCGUGGGUGAGGAAGGCCUUCGGGUUGUAAAGCCCUUUUGUUGGGAAAGAAAAGCAGCAGGUUAAUACCCCGCUGUUCUGACGGUACCCAAAGAAUAAGCACCGGCUAACUUCGUG